GGAGAUGUGGCUCAAUGGUAGAGCACCUACCUGGUAUGCAUGAGGCCUUGGGUUCAAAUCCCAACACUGCAA
RNAcentral lists this transfer RNA (72 nucleotides) under Ictidomys tridecemlineatus (thirteen-lined ground squirrel). RNAcentral's name for it is "Spermophilus tridecemlineatus (thirteen-lined ground squirrel) tRNA". It matches the Rfam family "tRNA". From Rfam's summary of the family: Transfer RNA (tRNA) molecules are approximately 80 nucleotides in length. Their secondary structure includes four short double-helical elements and three loops (D, anti-codon, and T loops). The record is from Rfam by way of RNAcentral. Lineage: Eukaryota; Metazoa; Chordata; Mammalia; Rodentia; Sciuridae.